RNAcentral lists this ribosomal RNA (256 nucleotides) under uncultured Actinomycetales bacterium. RNAcentral's name for it is "partial 16S ribosomal RNA". It matches the Rfam family "Bacterial small subunit ribosomal RNA", at positions 77 to 334 of the family's 1533-position model. The record is from RNAcentral. Lineage: Bacteria; Bacillati; Actinomycetota; Actinomycetes; Actinomycetales.
GUUUUGUGGGGUGCUCGAGUGGCGAACGGGUGAGUAACACGUGAGUAACCUGCCCUUGACUUUGGGAUAACUUCAGGAAACUGGGGCUAAUACCGGAUAGGAGCUCCUGCUGCAUGGUGGGGGUUGGAAAGUUUCGGCGGUUGGGGAUGGACUCGCGGCUUAUCAGCUUGUUGGUGGGGUAGUGGCUUACCAAGGCUUUGACGGGUAGCCGGCCUGAGAGGGUGACCGGCCACAUUGGGACUGAGAUACGGCCCAG